AUUGAACGCUGGCGGCAGGCCUAACACAUGCAAGUCGAGCGGUAGCACAGAGAGCUUGCUCUCGGGUGACGAGCGGCGGACGGGUGAGUAAUGUCUGGGAAACUGCCUGAUGGAGGGGGAUAACUACUGGAAACGGUAGCUAAUACCGCAUAAUGUCGCAAGACCAAAGAGGGGGACCUUCGGGCCUCUUGCCAUCAGAUGUGCCCAGAUGGGAUUAGCUAGUAGGUGGGGUAACGGCUCACCUAGGCGACGAUCCCUAGCUGGUCUGAGAGGAUGACCAGCCACACUGGAACUGAGACACGGUCCAGAAUCCUACGGGAGGCAGCAGUGGGGAAUAUUGCACAAUGGGCGCAAGCCUGAUGCGGCCAUGCCGCGUGUAUGAAGAAGGCCUUCGGGUUGUAAAGUACUUUCAGCGGGGAGGAAGGUGCUGAGGUUAAUAACCUCAGCAAUUGACGUUACCCGCAGAAGAAGCACCGGCUAACUCCGUGCCAGCAGCAGCCGCAG
RNAcentral lists this ribosomal RNA (504 nucleotides) under uncultured bacterium. Its description in RNAcentral is "partial 16S ribosomal RNA". It matches the Rfam family "Bacterial small subunit ribosomal RNA", at positions 30 to 523 of the family's 1533-position model. The record is from RNAcentral.